CAAACGGCUCUUUUCAGAGCCACCAAAACAAACGAUUGUUUGCCUU
Molecule: regulatory RNA element, 46 nt
Organism: Helobdella robusta
Lineage: Eukaryota; Metazoa; Annelida; Clitellata; Rhynchobdellida; Glossiphoniidae
Rfam family: Histone 3' UTR stem-loop
About the family: The mRNAs of metazoan histone genes lack a poly-A tail. 3' end processing occurs at a site between a highly conserved stem-loop (modelled by this family) and a purine rich region around 20 nts downstream (the histone downstream element, or HDE).
Source: Rfam